GUGCCAGCCGCCGCGGUAAUACGUAGGUGGCAAGCGUUGUCCGGAUUUAUUGGGUUUAAAGGGUGCGUAGGCGGUCUUGUAAGUCAGUGCUGAAAUAUCCCGGCUUAACCGGGAGGGUGGCAUUGAUACUGCAGGACUUGAGUGAAGUCGAGGUAGGCGGAAUUGACGGUGUAGCGGUGAAAUGCUUAGAUAUCGUCAAGAACACCGAUAGUGUAGACAGCUUACUAGGCUUUAACUGACGCUGAGGCACGAAAGUGUGGGGAUCAAACAGGAUUAGAAACCCGCGUAGUCC
RNAcentral lists this ribosomal RNA (292 nucleotides) under uncultured bacterium. RNAcentral describes it as "partial 16S ribosomal RNA". It matches the Rfam family "Bacterial small subunit ribosomal RNA", at positions 505 to 796 of the family's 1533-position model. The record is from RNAcentral.